CGAGGUGUGGCUCAGUUUGGCAGAGCGCUUGGUUUGGGACCAAGAAGUCGCAGGUUCGAAUCCUGUCACCUCGACCA
Molecule: transfer RNA, 77 nt
Filed under: Clostridia bacterium
Lineage: Bacteria; Bacillati; Bacillota; Clostridia
Also listed under: 1 other name
Description: tRNA-Pro
Rfam family: tRNA
About the family: Transfer RNA (tRNA) molecules are approximately 80 nucleotides in length.
Source: RNAcentral